RNAcentral lists this transfer RNA (71 nucleotides) under Saccopharynx lavenbergi. RNAcentral's name for it is "tRNA-Asn". The record is from RNAcentral. Lineage: Eukaryota; Metazoa; Chordata; Actinopteri; Anguilliformes; Saccopharyngidae.
UAGGUGAAUGCUUGUUGGUUUAGCCCUCAGCUGUUAACUGAGUUUUGGAGGAUCGAGGCCUCCUCACCUAU